GAUGAAGAACGUAGCGAAAUGCGAUAAGUAGUGUGAAUUGCAGAAUUCAGUGAAUCAUCGAAUCUUUGAACGCAUCUUGCGCUCCUUGGUAUUCCGAGGAGCAUGCCUGUUUGAGUGUCAUUAAAGUUCUCAACCACAUUACUACAUAUGUGGCUUGGAUGUGGGGGUUUGCAGGCUUUCUCAGAGGGUCUGCUCCUCUGAAAUGCAUUAGUGGUAUUCCUGAGCUUUACUACAGAUGUGAUAAUUUAUCUACAUCCCAAAAGUAUGCUUCAGCAACACCGCUCCUAACAAGCGAAAGCACAUUUUGAUGAAUUUGACCUCAAAUCAGGUAGGACUACCCGCUGAACUUAAGCAUAUCAAUAAGCGGAGGA
Molecule: unclassified non-coding RNA, 371 nt
Filed under: soil metagenome
Description: partial contains 5.8S ribosomal RNA, internal transcribed spacer 2, and large subunit ribosomal RNA
Rfam family: 5.8S ribosomal RNA (bases 1-120)
Source: RNAcentral